Non-coding RNA from Nomascus leucogenys (northern white-cheeked gibbon), 298 nucleotides. It matches the Rfam family "Metazoan signal recognition particle RNA". Rfam says of the family: The signal recognition particle (SRP) is a universally conserved ribonucleoprotein. It is involved in the co-translational targeting of proteins to membranes. The eukaryotic SRP consists of a 300-nucleotide 7S RNA and six proteins: SRPs 72, 68, 54, 19, 14, and 9. The record is from Rfam. NCBI's taxonomy places the organism in Eukaryota, Metazoa, Chordata, Mammalia, Primates, Hylobatidae.
ACCAGACAUGGUGUUUUGUGCUUGUAGUUCCAGCUACUCAGGAGGCUGAGGCGGGGUGGAUCCCUUGGGUCCAGGGGUCCAGGAUUGUAGUGCGCUGUGCUCAUCAUGUGUCCUCACUAAGUUUGGCAUCAAUAUGGUGACCUCCUGGAAGCAGGGGACUGCUGGAUUGCAUAAGGAAGCGUAAACUGGCCCACAUCAGAAAUGAAACAGGUCUAAACUCCCAUGCUGAUCAGUAGUGGGAUGGUGUCUAGGAAAAGCCACUGCACUCAAGACUGGGGCAACAUAGUGAUACCCUGUA